UACAGAGGGCGCAAGCGUUGUUCGGAAUUACUGGGCGUAAAGCGCACGUAGGCGGCUUUGUAAGUUAGAGGUGAAAGCCCGGGGCUCAACUCCGGAAUUGCCUUUAAGACUGCAUCGCUAGAAUUGUGGAGAGGUAAGUGGAAUUCCGAGUGUAGAGGUGAAAUUCGUAGAUAUUCGGAAGAACACCAGUGGCGAAGGCGACUUACUGGACACAUAUUGACGCUGAGGUGCGAAAGCGUGGGGAGCAAACAGG
This 253-nucleotide ribosomal RNA is filed under the name uncultured bacterium. Its description in RNAcentral is "partial 16S ribosomal RNA". It matches the Rfam family "Bacterial small subunit ribosomal RNA", at positions 524 to 776 of the family's 1533-position model. The record is from RNAcentral.